This 767-nucleotide ribosomal RNA is filed under the name uncultured bacterium. RNAcentral describes it as "bacterial SSU rRNA". It matches the Rfam family "Bacterial small subunit ribosomal RNA", at positions 29 to 834 of the family's 1533-position model. The record is from RNAcentral.
GUGAACGUGGCGGCGUGGAUUAGGCAUGCAAGUCGAGCGAUCGUAGCAAUACGGGAGCGGCAAACGGGGUAGGAAUACAUCGGAACGUACCCUUUGGUUGGGAAUAGCGUUGGGAAACUGACGGUAAUACCCAAUAAAGUCGAGAGACCAAAGGUUUACUGCCGGAGGAGCGGCCGAUGCGAUAUUAGGUAGUUGGUGGGGUAAUGGCCUACCAAGCCUGAGAUGUCUAGGGGGUGUGAGAGCAUGGCCCCCACCACUGGGACUGAGAGACUGCCCAGACACCUACGGGUGGCUGCAGUCGAGGAUCUUCGUCAAUGGGCGAAAGCCUGAACGAGCGACGCCGCGUGCGGGAUGAAGGCCCUUGGGUUGUAAACCGCUGUCAGGGGGGAUGAAACCGUAAGGUUGACAGAGCCCCAGAGGAAGCACGGGCUAAGUUCGUGCCAGCAGCCGCGGUAAUACGAACUGUGCGAACGUUACUCGGAAUCACUGGGCUUACAGGGUGCGUAGGUGGCUUGAUAAGCAGGGUGUGAAAUCCCUCGGCUCAACCGAGGAACUGCGCUCUGAACUGUCGAGCUAGAGUAUGCUAGAGGUGAAUGGAACAUCCAGUGGAGCGGUGAAAUGUGUUGAUAUUGGAUGGAACACCAGAGGCGAAGGCGAUUCACUGGGGCAUAACUGACACUGAGGCACGAAAGCCAGGGGAGCAAACGGGAUUAGAUACCCCGGUAGUCCUGGCCGUAAACGAUGAGAACUGAGCGGGGGGUGGCUUG